UAAUUAAAUGAUACAGCAGAUACAUAGGCCAGGCACAGGGCCUGAGCCUGUCACCCAGUAGAACUCACUACUGUUCUUUCAGAAAGUUUCCAGAGACAGAUCAUCAUGUGCUAUCUUGGGGAGGUCUCCAUGGCUUCUCUGAAGGCUUGGACUUUCAGAAUAGAUCAAUACUUCCCACGUCUCACCCCUCUCCAAGUACCUCUAACACCAGCAUCAAGGAGAGUUGCAGAAGAACUUGGGGCUCUUCGCACUACAUGCCUAGCUGGCACCUGUUGACUCCUGACACCCCUGGGAAGCCACACUGAAGGAGAUUCUCCUGCAGAGUGGAGUGUGUUCUGUUCCUCAACUCAAUGCUAAGACUACAAAAACACUCAUGGAGCUUCAAAGAUUAAGCCCCCUUCCCUCACUUCCUGACUGGCCCUAUAUUACAAGCUCUGUUUCUCUCAUCUUGCCUGACAGAUCUGCAAGAAGGGAGCCACCUGCCUCGGGGCCUUGCGCAGCACCUCCUCUUGUAGCUCCUUUUUGUCUCCACUAUGAUCAGAGUUCCCACCAUGGGCCAGUCCUGUCUGUGUUCUUCAUGAAGCCUUUCCUGGCCCAGUGUGGGGGAUACAAUCCCUUCAAAUCAGCAAGAUAAGGAUUUGACACUUGCUGGGAACUUUUUGGAAAUCUGAUAGACUAAGAAAACCUUUCACAGUUUCAAAAUGGUGCCCAGAUCCUUAAGAGUUCACAGACUACAGGUUGAUAGUCUCUCAUCUACACCACAGGAGGUUUCGUGGUACAAGUGGCUGGUGUCAGAGGCUUGGGCCAGGUGGCACUGAUAGGAGCCAGGGGGGGCAGAAAUGCCAGCCACCCCUUCUUCCCACACAGUGCUUCCCUGUUUAGCAGCCUCCUAUCUCUUGAAAUCACUACCUUGGUAGCAUGACUCAGCUCCUCGACCCGUCAUGCAUCAAAGACACCAUGGUUUGUCACACAGCGUCCAUCCCCACCCACCCUCCUAGCUGAAGGACACACUCCUCUAUAACUGAACUCUGAAGCCAGUUCCUCACUUCCUCCCUCCUCCCUCCUUCCCUCCCUUCCUUUCUUUCUUCUUUCCUUCCUUCUGUCUUGUCUUUCUGUCUGCCUUCCUUUCUUUAUCUCUAACUGCUUGAAAAGAGUGAGUUAGCCUCAUGCAACAGCUUAUAAUAAUAUUCAGAAAUAUUCCUGAAUCUGACACUUAGGUUAGUAUGCUAGCUAGUUUUUAGUUUGUUUGGUUGGUUUUUCUCAAGUCAGGAUUUCCCUGCAUAGUUCUGGCUGGCCCGUAACUCAGUCUGUAGAUCACUAGUUAAUUUUAAUUAUCAAUCAGAUAUAACCUAGACUCAGUGGUGAAGAGGAUCUUAAUGAGAAAGUCUCUGGAUUCUGUUGUCCUGUUAGCAAGUCUUCAAGCAAUUUUCUUAACUGGGCCAACUGAAGUGGGAAAGCCUACCCUGGACAUGGCUGCCACCGAGUCCUGGACUGUCUAAGUGUAGAGAGGUAGCCUUCAGACCUGACUAACUAGGACAGAGGUACCCCUACUGGCUGCUUUGUGAGAGCACCUCUCACUGGGCUUGGCUGGUAAGCACUGAGUGUAUUAAAGGCCAGGGGGGACUUUAGGGAGAGCGAUGUCUUGGCGACUCCGUUCUCCUUCCGUUGUCAUGCACAAAGCAAUAUAAGUCAUCAUUGAAACACUGCUCACCAAGAGCAAGGGUGCUGCUGUUAUUUUAAAGGUUCUCUGGAUUACAAUCUGAGGUCAUAUGAGGCCAUGAAGAUAUCUUGUUAAGCAAAACUCAAAGCAGUGCACUUGCUGGAGGAACCACCUGAUAAAAACUCUGGUCUUUUAGUACUGACUGCAUAUUAGCUUCUAUGGUCCAACAGUAUUGCUCAUCCAUUCACGUGACCCUGAGUGCUCUUCCCAGGCUUAGAGACUCACUGGACCAAGGAUAAAAGGGCCAAGCCACUGAUGUAGUAGCCUUCAAGGCUAUGUGCAUAUAAGCACGCUCUCACAUACUCACACACAUAUGCACCCAAAUAAAUACACACUCUUACAUGCUCACAUGCUGUGGGAUGUGUGUGUGUUCUCCUCAACCUGGACAAGCUCUCAAACCUUGCAGAGCUUUAUUGCCAGGUACAGGGUUGAUGGGAAAUGUUCCAUGGGAAUGUCUCAUGUACAUUUCUCAAGAACCUUCCACAUUCUCGCUCUGCAACCUCUUCCAUCAGUUCAGACAAAUAUUGUUCAAAGAAGAAUAGGAGAGAGAGAAGCAAACCCAAGUCUCCAAGGAGGAUCUGAUGGACUUGGAAAAGGAGGGAAUGUUUAUGUAUGGACAAGUCACAGUACGUAACAUCUAGCCAUGCGUAAGGUGCCAAAUUUGACCCCACUGCAAUCACUGCAAUUAAUCACUUACAAAAUGUCCUUUCUUUUCGGUCCACAAAGAUCCGAUUAAAGAUUGCCUAAGAUUUACUUCAAAUUAAAGAAAGGCCCAGGAUGGAGUUCAAAUUCUGUAUAACUAUAGCGUACGUGAAACCAACCAUUUCUGAAGCCGUGUUUGUUGGCUACCUCCACACAGAUUGAAAACACCUAGGACCAGGCUCUGUCAUUCUCUCUUCUGAGAGUCAUGGUCUAUUCGAGGAAGGAGACCCCACUAGUCAGCUCAGCUCAGCUCCUCAGUCUAGGGCUUUAGACUGAAGGCAUACCAUUGCUUGAAGAUGGUGGUGACGGUGUAACUGUGGCAGCAAUGGUCUCCAGUACAGCACAACAUAGCAGGCACCCUUUCAAUACGGUAUGUAACGGCCCCUACACCUGGACUAUGGAUAUCCUCAUAGAACAGAGAGAAAGCUAAAAGGGCGGUGAAGUAACUCAUUUAAACCAGCAGAAUCUUAUCUCAGAUGCCUCACAAUUAUGCUCUUUGAUGCCGAGCUAUAUGGUUUGUUACAUCACAGCCUUCAGGCUUCGUGGGACAGAACUGAUCCCUCCCAAAGAAGACGCAAUUCGCGCAUUCCUUCAACAUAGUGUAGCAUGGGUCAUGCCUCAUUUUCUUACAAGCAAGGGAAACUUUUCUAAAUCCAACAACAACAACAACAAAAUAUGGUGGACGAGUAAGAGGUACUAGAACUUUCCAUACACGGUUAAAAAAAAAAAAAAAAAA
Mus musculus (house mouse) is the source of this 3158-nucleotide long non-coding RNA. RefSeq annotates it as predicted gene, 52106. The record is from RefSeq and is a predicted model, not a curated record. The transcript is spliced from 3 exons. NCBI's taxonomy places the organism in Eukaryota, Metazoa, Chordata, Mammalia, Rodentia, Muridae.